GGGACACGUGAUAUCCUGUCUGAAUAUGGGGGGACCAUCCUCCAAGGCUAAAUACUACUGACUGACCGAUAGUGAACCAGUACCGUGAGGGAAAGGCGAAAAGAACCCCUGUGAGGGGAGUGAAAUAGAACCUGAAACCGUGUACGUACAAGCAGUAGGAGCAGGCUUGUCCUGUGACUGCGUACCUUUUGUAUAAUGGGUCAGCGACUUAUAUUCAGUGGCAAGGUUAACCAUCUAGGGGAGCCGUAGGGAAACCGAGUCUUAACUGGGCGUUCAGUCUCUGGAUAUAGACCCGAAACCAGGUGAUCUAGCCAUGGGCAGGUUGAAGGUUGAGUAACAUCAACUGGAGGACCGAACCGACUAAUGUUGAAAAAUUAGCGGAUGACUUGUGGCUAGGGGUGAAAGGCCAAUCAAACCUGGAGAUAGCUGGUUCUCCCCGAAAGCUAUUUAGGUAGCGCCUCGGACGAAUACUACUGGGGGUAGAGCACUGUUAAGGCUAGGGGGUCAUCCCGACUUACCAACCCUUUGCAAACUCCGAAUACCAGUAAGUACUAUCCGGGAGACACACGGCGGGUGCUAACGUCCGUCGUGGAGAGGGAAACAACCCAGACCGC
RNAcentral lists this ribosomal RNA (614 nucleotides) under Vibrio parahaemolyticus. RNAcentral's name for it is "partial 23S ribosomal RNA". It matches the Rfam family "Bacterial large subunit ribosomal RNA", at positions 419 to 1035 of the family's 2925-position model. Lineage: Bacteria; Pseudomonadati; Pseudomonadota; Gammaproteobacteria; Vibrionales; Vibrionaceae. The record is from RNAcentral.